AUUGAACGCUGGCGGCAGGCCUAACACAUGCAAGUCGAACGAGUGGCGGACGGGUGAGUAAUGUAUGGGAACCUGCCUGAUGGAUGGGGAUACCUACUGGAAACGGUAGUUAAUACCGCAUACCAUCGGAUGUGCCCAUAUGGGAUUAGCUAGUAGGUGGGGUAAAGGCUCACCUAGGCGACGAUCCCUCGCUGGUCUGAGAGGAUGACCGGCCACACUGGAACUGAGACACGGUCCAGACUCCGACGGGAGGCAGCAGUGGGGAAUAUUGCACAAUGGGCGCAAGCCUGAUGCAGCCAUGCCGCGUGUAUGAAGAAGGCCUUCGGGUUGUAAAGUACUUUCAGCGGGGAGGCGUUACCCGCAGAAGAAGCACCGGCUAACUCCGUGCCAGCAGCCGCGGUAAUAC
This 406-nucleotide ribosomal RNA is filed under the name uncultured bacterium. RNAcentral describes it as "partial 16S ribosomal RNA". It matches the Rfam family "Bacterial small subunit ribosomal RNA", at positions 30 to 526 of the family's 1533-position model. The record is from RNAcentral.